GACGAACGCUGGCGGCGUGCUUAACACAUGCAAGUCGAACGGUGAAGCUGGAGCUUGCUCCGGUGGAUUAGUGGCGAACGGGUGAGUAACACGUGAGCAAUCUGCCCUUGACUCUGGGAUAACUGCGGGAAACUGUAGCUAAUACCGGAUAUGAGGCUCGAAGGCAUCUUCGGGUCUGGAAAGAAUUUCGGUCAAGGAUGGGCUCGCGGCCUAUCAGCUUGUUGGUGAGGUAAUGGCUCACCAAGGCGACGACGGGUAGCCGGCCUGAGAGGGUGACCGGCCACACUGGGACUGAGACACGGCCCAGACUCCUACGGGAGGCAGCAGUGGGGAAUAUUGCACAAUGGGCGAAAGCCUGAUGCAGCAACGCCGCGUGAGGGAUGAAGGCCUUCGGGUUGUAAACCUCUUUUAGCAGGGAAGAAGCGAAAGUGACGGUACCUGCAGAAAAAGCACCGGCUAACUACGUGCCAGCCGCCGCCGUAA
RNAcentral lists this ribosomal RNA (483 nucleotides) under uncultured bacterium. RNAcentral describes it as "partial 16S ribosomal RNA". It matches the Rfam family "Bacterial small subunit ribosomal RNA", at positions 28 to 523 of the family's 1533-position model. The record is from RNAcentral.